This 36626-nucleotide long non-coding RNA is filed under the name Malus domestica (apple). RNAcentral's name for it is "long non-coding RNA (MDOM_LNC006651)". The record is from RNAcentral. Lineage: Eukaryota; Viridiplantae; Streptophyta; Magnoliopsida; Rosales; Rosaceae.
GCCCUCACCAUCAGUCACCAUGCAUGUCACUUUACUAUCUUUCUUUACGUUGUUAGUAUACUGCAUGUGUUCUAUUGCCGACACUCCUUGGACCAAUUAUCUUUUGAGAUCUUUUCCAUCUUUCUUUACGUUGUUAGUAUACUUAGGGGGUGGGGAGCCGAAGAGAACAAAGCCCUCACCGUCAAUCACCAUGCAUGUCACUUUACUAUCUUUUUUACGUUGUUAGUAUACUUAGAGCAGUUCCAGCGUGGGAACCCUCCUCCCAGGCAAUACACUAUGCUAUCCACUCAAUGAACAGUAACUGCCUUAAUAAACAGUAACCGUUUUUUGCAUCUCCACAGUUACACUUUAAUAGCCCUAACAAUAGGCAAUAAAAUAAUAGUUUUAUUUAUUUAUAAAAUAAUACCAAGAUAAUUAAAAAAAGACAAAGCAAAGAGCAGCAUAUGACUCUCUCUCUCUGUUGAAAUGAAGACCACCAACACAGCCACCACAAACACAAAGCUUAUCCUCCUCCACCCCUAAGCAAUCCACAAACAGUGGAAGCCACCGCCUGUGGCUCUUCUUCUUCUUCACCUUCUUCACCCUCGCAUUCACCCUCACUCUCAUCAUCACCACCAUCCCCCAAACCCUCCCCACCUCCUCCCUCACCCCCACCUCCGUACUCCCCUUCCCGCCCGUCGUCUUGGACGCACUUCUUCACUAUGCCAUUUCAUCAUCAAACACCUCGUCAGCACCCCACAUGUCCUCGCCGGAACUCACAUCCAUAUCCUCCGCCCUCACCCGCCUCUGCGCACCCAACUGCAAUUUCCUCUUUUUCGGCCUCACCCUCUAGAACCUAACAAAAAAAUUAAAAAAUUAAAAAAGGCGUCUGACAUCAGCUAACGUCAGAACCACCUCAGGUGCUCGGGCCAGAACGAAUCCACGGGCCUAGAGCUCGGCCUGCUCGGGCUCCCUCGCCAGCCAACGAUGGACUUCCUCCCUGGGCAAUCAGGUCUUGUGCUGAAGCAUGUCCAUCAAGCAAAAGCUCCCGCUGGAGCUGCUCUUAGGGGGGAGCUGAAGAGAACAAAGCCCUCACCGUCAGUCACCAUGCAUGUCACUUUACUGUGAAUAAAAAGAAAAGCUGGUAGUUCAACUAAUCUCAUAAAAUUUGUCAAUUUUCAAUAAAAAAAAAAGAGGGGGGUUAGUCCUAAGUUUUCUUGAAACAUAAGUAUUGUUGUGCAUCAUAUUAGGGUAUAUACUACACUUACUUACCACAUAUUUGUAUUAUCUAUCUAAUAGAAGAAAUGGCACGUAAGGCCGAUAGCGGCCCCUAGAAAUUAAAGUCUUGCAUGGAACUCAAUUGUCAGAGAAGUCGUUUGAGUGCCCUCACUUUUGCGAUUACUACUACUACUAAGAAUCUUGUACCACUAUAUGAAAAUUUAUUAAAUGACGAGAAUAACUUGUAUGAAAUAUGUAUACUGUCAUCAUGAUGUCUCAAUUUCAUAAUGUAAUGUCGUAUGAAAGAAAAUUUUGCACAUAACAAUUUAUUAGACAAAAACAUCAUGUGAUAAACAUAUUCGACGUAAGUCUUCUCCGAUAAUUUAGCCAUGGUACCAUGAUGACAUUUCAACUUUUAUCUUUGAAAAAUAAGAGUAUAGGACCCCAUUUCGUCUUGACCUUUUCUCAAAAUACUGUACCAUUCUUUUGUCCGUGAGUCUCUAUUGUGGUCAGCAUACAACAGCUGUUAUUAAUUACUGUAACCACAUACUCGAGUUGACAUCGAUCAUUCCUGCCAGUUGCCAGACAAAAUUAAUGGAAACUUAGAUUGUUUUAACUGUACGAGAUAUUUUCUGAGUGUGUGUACUUUUAAGUUUUAAUCCAUUUUAAUUUGUGUCAUUUUUUUAUAAACAAAUGAUAUUAUUUAUAUUUAAAAAGAAUAUGAGUUUAGUCUCAUAAUGAGCUAUCAAUAAUAUGGUUCAAAUUCGUCUUUGACAAUAAUCGAACUUGAGACGAUUCAAAUUCGCAUUUGACAAUAACCGAACAUGUGAUCUAUUACUUACAAGUGCAGAGGAAUACCACUAGAUCGUAGUAUUAAAUGAUAAUUGAAUAUGUGUCAUUGAAUAAUUAAGGGAGUGAAAAUUCUAUGUGUAUAACUAUAAGGCGUGGGUCGGAAGAAGGAUUUUAUAUCGAUAGCGUCGAUAUCAGUAGUGUCAAUAAUUGUAUCGAUAAUUAUGGUGUACUAAUAACUAUACAUACGUUGACAUAUAUUUUCAUCAGUACUUGUGUUGAUGUACAAAACCGGAAGUCUUGGAACAACGUAAAUCCGACCGUGAAUCUACAUGUAAUGUAAAUAACAUAAGAUGUAUCGUGGUUCACCCCAAGGUUUGGGCUACGUCCACACUGAUAUUGUAUUUAUCUGAGAGGUGAGGGAGAUAACCUCUGAAUAUGAGAGGGGAUUGAGAGGGGUGAGAAGGCUUCAUAAAUGGCCUCCUCUAAUUGUGAGGGUGAUGGGUCAUUUUAUAGAAUAAGGACUUCUCACUUAUUACAUAUUUGCCCAUUCCUUUAUUACAUAAUUACAUUUAAGUCCCCUGAGUAUUUAUACGAGGUCUAAAUACGAGGCCCUAAAUAUGGUAUAAACAGUAGUCCCCCAAGUCUUCAGUCAAGAGAGUCUUUUGGCUGGAGACUUGAAAUUCAGUCCAUGUCCAUGUGUGGGCCGAAGUAACUAAAUGUUGUCUUGAACUGAUGUUCGAUAUGAGGCGGUGCUCAAUCUGAAAUGAUGCUCAACUAGAAGUAGCAUAUGUUGCAAGGCUGCUCGGCUUGUGGUUUAUGUUGCCUUGGUUGACUCGGCUUGUAGCGCUUGAAGGUGAGGGAGUCCCUUUUAUAGAAUAAGGGUUCGCUCAUCGAUACAUAAAUGAUGGGCUAGAGUUGAUGCUCGCGGCGAGGCGGUUGCUCAGUAGGCGGCGAUGCUCUCUAAUGAUGGUGAGGGAGUCCCUUUUAUAGAAUAAGGGUUCGCUCCUCAAUAUAUGAAUAAUGUGCUAGAGUUGAUGCUCUCUAAUGAUGGUGAGGGAGUUCCUUUUAUAGAACAAUGGUUCGCUCCUCGAUACAUAAAUAUGGGCUGGAGUUGAUGCUCGCGGCGAGGUGGUUGCUCAGUAGGCGGUGAUGCUCUCUAAUGGUGGUAAGGGAGUCCCUUUUAUUAAAUAAGGGCUCGCUCCUCAAUAGAUGAAUAAUGUGCUAGAGUUGACGCUCUUUAAUGAUGGUGAGGGAGUCCAUUUUAUAGAAUAAGGGUUCGUUCCUAAAUACAUAAAUAAUGGGCUAGAGUCCCCCACUGCUUUGUUCCCCUAAUACUAAACAUCUGAAACAGAAGAUUUUAUUUCAUCACUAACGUUUAUUCUUUGGGCUUCUCAUUUGUAACAGGAUACCGAUGUUGUGUGGCUAAGGGACCCCUUCAAAAAACUAAGCAAGAACGAAACAGAAGAUUUACAAAUGAGUACAGAUAUGUUCUUCGGGGAUCCUUGGAACGCAAGUCAGUUGAUCAACACUGGCUUCUACUACGUCAGAUCCAAUAGCAAGACCAUAGCACUGUUUGAUAGAUGGUACACCUCCAAGGACAAUGCCACAGGACUGAAAGAGCAGGAUGUCCUAUUGAACUUAUUCCGAGGGGGUAUUACCGGGGAGUUGGGACUUAGGGUAAGGUUCUUAGACACCCUCUAUUUCAGUGGUUUUUGCCAAAACAGCAGGGACUUCGGGCAAGUGAGCACGGUCCACGCCAAUUGUUGCCGGAGUAUUGUCGCCAAAGUUAAGGACUUGAAAGCCGUCCUCCGGGAUUGGAAACGGUUCAAGAGGUUCAUGUCCCACAAGAGGAGUUCUGGUACUAGUACGACGAGUUUCCAAUGGACUGGGCACUUUGGAUGUUGGAAUUCCUGGGCUGUUCCCAAUUAACUCUGGUAAUGCAACUCAUAAGACAUGAAUUUUUCUUUUUUUUUUUUUUUUUUUUUUUUAAAGAAGACGUUAGUAAAGAAGGAGAAGGGUAAAUCAUACGAGAAGGAAAUAGUUUUCUAUCUUAUUUUUAGAAAGUUCAGGUGAAGGAAGGGAAUAAUUGAACAGUGUCGUUUAAAAUUUGAGGAUAAAUGCUCUACCAAUAGAGUUAUAUAUGCCCCCACAAAGUAGUUCGAUAAAUUCAAAUUUAUGUCUCCUUAUUUUUUUUUUUUCUUUCAAGAUUAUCAAAAUAAAUCUGUAUGCGAUUCAAAGGUAUGUUUCAAAAAAUGUAAGUAGCAUAAAGGAUUUAGAAUGUCUUAAUAUGGGUUUUCUUAGCAUAUCGUGUAAUUUUUAUUAAUUGGUUUGAACUCAAAUGGCGCACAUUUAUCAAUCAUAUUGUACGGUUCAUAUUACUAAUGUGAUUCUUGUCAAAUAUUGUAUGAAUAAAUGUUGAAAUAUUGCAUUUUUAUUUUGUGGUUGGAGCACAUGAGUACUACCAGACCUUCGCAAAUUGAACUUUUUCUUCAUUAAGGUUUUGUAAGAUCUAAAAAUAAAGUAAACUGUGGAUCUCUCCCUUAAACUUUCACCUAACUUUUAAUUUACCCCCUAAACUUUUAAUUGGAAAAUCAAGGACUUAAACUAAUUUUUUGGUUGAUUUCCCCCUUGCUGUUAGUUUUUCAUUCCUUUUCCAUCCAUAUUUCUGUUAAAUGAAAUCAUGUGCACAACAUAUGAGGGUAGUUUGGUCGCUUCAUUAUUUUAAAUAAUUGAAAACCCUAGAUUUCUAAAAUGCCUACCUGUGCAAAUCUGUGUUAUUCUAUAGUUUUUGUGUCUGAAGGUCUAGCGAAGUGUUGUUUUUGUUCUCCAAGGAGAGUCAUGUGAUGUGCACGUGAUAAGAGUUAACAUUAAUUUGAAUGAAAUCUAUGGAAAAAUAACGGUAGGGAAAAUCAGCCAAAAAAAUAGUUGAAGUCCUUGAUUUUCCAAUUUAAAAGUUUAGGGGGGUAAAUCAGAAGUUAGCUAAAAAUUCAAGAGGAAAUCGGCAGUUUACUCCUCAAAAAUAUUAAAAUGCAUACUCUUGAGAUAAAAUGGUGUAAAAGUUUGUAAAUAUUAAGUGUUCAUUGUUGAUCAUGUAUUACUUUAAGAGUUGCUUUUACAUUUUUUUCUUUUUAUUUUGUAUUGCAUACUUCAAAAGUUGAAAAUACCAUCCGAUAACACUCAACGAACUUCAUUUCAAGUUAUUUACCUUUUUUUGUCACUUAGUAUUAAAGUUUAGUGAUACUUUUUUCCAUUUAUACGUAAAAGGUCUUAAGUUGGAUUGUCACAAAAAACGAAUUCAAACUAAAUUAAUAUAGCUAGCUCGUCGUGAGGUUUAACCACUCAUCCACCAAAAAAGUUAUAUACCGUCCUUAAGCUCUCUAAAGUUCUCAUUUUUUAAGGAUCUUUAAUUUUAACCCAAUCAAAACCUUUCUCAAAUUUGAUAUAUUUUGGAAUAAGUAGUCCAGACUUUAGACUUUGCAUUGCAGUUUUUGUUAUGUAAUUAUGAGGAUACAGACUUUGCCUCAUAGUUUCUGUCUUAUUGUAGUCGAACUAGUCACAUCUUAUGUUGAAUUUUAAAAUGAGUAUCGACUAUUUUAAUUAUUCUUCUCAUUUUUUGACUUCAUCAUAUGCCAAGUUUGUGAUGCAAAUUUUGUAUACGACUGAUUUGACAAAAUUUUACCUACAAGAGAACAAACAUUGUUAGUCUAAUUGACAAAUACCUCGAAAUAAAUUUGGAAGGUGUGCACCAAAGUGUAUACGAUGCCUAAGUAAGAAAAGUUGUAAAGAGAAAAGAGAACUUAAAAGACUUCUGAGUAGUAAGUGGUUACUAUGGUUUUCUCUGUUUAACCUGACUAUUUAUAGAGAUCUGAACCCUAGUAGGUAACUGGGAGGGGAGGUUGCAAACCAUACUAGGCAGUCUUUGAUGGUGCAUGUCAGUCGUUAUAGUCAUGCCAGCUAGUAAUCCUGAAGAUCCCUGUUGUAGGGCGCCUAGCGUAUUGGACACCCAAGGAGAGACUCCGAAGGGUUAGCUUCUUGCCACCAUUGGGUUGGGUAUGGCCCGAUGGCAGGACAUAAUAUGGGCUUGAAGCACCUGUGAUAUGGUGGUGGCCUAAAAGCCUAUUACCCAUAGAGUAGACUAAUGUCACAUUCCCUUGAGGUAAUAUGUGUAUGCUCAAGAUGUUAAGACUGUCAUAGUGAGUAUAUAGUCCACAUGGUAAAACCGUCAUAGGGAGUAUAUACUCCACGUGCCCUCCUAUUAGAUGUGAUUAAUUUAUGUUUCUAUAAAUACCCCACAUAUGCUUGAGUUUAAGUGGGAAACAAAAAGAGAUGUAGUUCCUAUUUGUAGAUUUUUUUUUUUGUCUUUCUUUAAGGAUUUAGCUUAAAUAAGAGAUAACCCUUGCUGGAAUUCUCACAGAUUCCUUACUUUAAAAUUCAGGCUUUGCGUAGAGAAUUCAUAGAGAAAAUUUCAAGUAUGAAAAAUUUCCCCCUUCUUCUUCCCGUCCUCGAUGAUGUUGCCUCAACUCAACAUGCCUAGUCUGUUGCUGCUUGCUGUGCGUGCUGAAGCGCGCAGGUGAAGCCGGAUAACUAUGGAGUUAGGGUGCGACUUGAAUGCGACUCAUUGUGCAAUCGGAUCACGAGGAAAUCGUAGAUAUGGUCCCUUAACUUUAACUUAAUUGGAGCAAUGAUCCCUCAACUAAAAAUCCAUUACCAUUGGUCUCUCAACUCAUCAAAACGUGCAGCUAUGGUCCCUCAACUAAAAAUCCAUUACCAUUGGUCCCUCAACUUUAAUUCAACUUGAUAAAUGGUCCCUUAACUUUAACCCAAUUGUAGCAAUGGUCUUUCCAACAUAACUCGUUUUGACAAAAAAUUUGAUGUAGUUGACGAAAAGGACUAUAAUUACACACUUUGAUGAGUUGAGGGACCCUAAUUAUAUAAAUGGUUAUUCCAACAUAAUUUAUUUUGACAAAAUUUUGACGAAAUUGAUGAAAAGGACUAUAGCUACACAUUUUGAUAAGUUGAGGGACAAAAUGGUAAUGAUUUUUUUAGUUGAGGGACCAUUGCUACAAUUUACUCAUCGGACCACUAAUUGGGUCGGUUCGGCUAUAGAAUUUUUUUUCGAAUUUGACUGUUCUUCCGAAUUCAAUCCAACAUCAAUCCAUCUCCAUCAUUAUUAUCAACAAAAGCCAUAUUGGAUUAAAUUAAGAUCUUGUGAGCAAUUUUUGAAAUUUCUUCGUUUCUUUGGUAGGUAAAGCAAGAUGUUGUCUUCCAAGAAAUCAUGGAAAUCAUACAUCACAAAGAUGCGUGACAUCAAGUUAGAUAGAUAGAUGGACAGUUUCCACUUCAUUUCAUAUUCUAGUCGAUGUAACUAUGUUUGAGUUUUCAACACAUUACUUCUUAAUGUCAGCUCUUGUAUAGAAUAGAUUCUGAUCAAGCGGAAAAAGCCCUAUGUUAUUAAUAAGCUAGCACGCCCCUUUCUUUCUCCAAGUCAAGUUUCUCACUUGUUAGUCUUACCCUUACCUUUAUUUAUGGGAUAUUUGAAGAAUCACAUGUUUGGAAGUUAAUCAAACCCCAACUCUCUCAUUUCACACCCUUAUUAACAGUGCUAGGGUUAUUGAUAAACCCUGCGCAAAUGUCCUAUUCUUCAACAGACUAUCACCUGGGGCAAUGUAGAACCUUGAUUGAACCUGAAGCAGCACACUACAUUGUAGACUUUUAUGAAAUAGGAUGCAUGUGAGCGGGCAUUUCAAAUUUUUUGUUCAGAGGCUGGCUAUAUAUUUCUAACGUGCCCUAGGUCAAUUGUGACCUGAUUUCUACUGCCUUCCACCAAUGCCGCCACCAUCACCACAUACAUCAACCUAGCCACCAUGGCAACCAACAAUUCCCUUGUUUGAACCACCAUCACUCCCACCACCCCAAUAUGUUAAUUGCAUCCAAAACCUCUCACUAUCAAUGCUACCACCACCAACCUUCACCAUCAUCGUCAGCGCCACCACCACUCUGCUACCAUUACCACUCUCUCCACCACUCCCACCACCAAUGUCGUUUCCCUUCCCACAUUGCCACCAUUUAUACCCUACCAUCAUCGCACUGUCAUUGUCAUCACUACUACCACUAUCACCAUCACCACAGGCACCCUAACCAUCGUGGCCACCAACACCAUCCCUUAUGCAACCACAAUUUCAUCGUCACCAUCGCCACCAGCUUCAAAUUUAUACUACAAUACAUUAUUAUCAAAAUCAAAAUUACCGUUAGACCUACUCUAACCCUUGGAGUAAAACUCAAAUUUUAGGUUCUAAACUUACUUCAACCCUUGGAGUAAAACUCAAAUUUUAGGUUCUAAACUUACUUCAACCCUUGGGGCAAAUAUGAGUUUUAACCAAAAGCUCAUUUUUGAGGCAAAUUUAGCCCAUGAUUCCCCUGGGUUAGUGGGGCUAGGCCACCAUAUGUGUGUAUUUUUUGUAGUUUUAUAUUUAUAAAUUCAUUGAAUCCAACGAUUAAGAUCUAAUAUAAUCGAAUCCAACGUUAAAAGAAAAUAUCUAUUAAAUCCAAUAGCUAACGUAAUUAAAAAAAAAUUAUGUGUUUCAUAUUCUUUCAUAGUGUUCCACGAGUUUCAUAGUGUAGGUUUGGUGAUUUUUUAAUAUUCAUCGGAAUCUAAAUAUUUUUAGUUUAAAAUGUUUAUAAAUUAAAUUAAGAUAAUCUACAUAAUUUAAAAAAAAUUACUUUAAGAAAAAAAAUAUCCUAAAUUUAUUCUUUAAUAAUUUCGGGCUAAAAAUUUAACCCAUAAUGGUGAGAGGAGAAAAACUGACACACCCCGACCCGGAAUGUCCACUAAGACUUUGAAUCGAGCUACACUGACCGACACCUGGGAGGUGACGAAGCCAUACAGUGUUAUGAUGUGGGAAAAUGUGAAUAAAAACUUAAGAGUGCCUAAAUACCAGAGUGCAUAGGUGAGCGGGAAUGAACCCACUUCACACAUGACGUUAGAGCAUAAGUAAGUACAAUUAAGAAUCGUACCCUUGAAAGAAUCUCCAAUACUAAGAAUUGCCACGAACCUUCGACGAUAAGAAAGCUCAGCUAAUAAAACCUGGAUGGUGAAAACAAGACAAGGGUGGGUGGCCUUAGAAAUAACAUUUUAAUAGAAACCGUAUAAAACAUUAUAACCCCUCGUUACAACACUUAUAUAGUUUCCAGAAAAAUCAUACCACGUAUCAAUGUGAAAUCAAAAGUAUAUCAACAGUAAAUCCAUAAAUAUACCACAACACCGCAUUUUAUCAGCAAUAUCAAUAAUCAUGUGAUUAAUAAUCCAUACUAGCACGCAAGUCGGAGUCACCUAUAGUGACCUGUACGACUGCACCCAUAUCUCAUCAAUCAAUGCUAGCACAUAAGUCGGAGUCACCUAUAGUGACAUGUACAACUUAUCCAUAUCUCAACAAUCAAUGCUAGUUCAUAAGUUGGAGUCACCUAUAGUGACUUGUACGACUUAUCCAUAUCUCAUCAAUCAAUGCUAGCUCAUAAGUUGGAGUCACCUAUAGUGACCUGUACGAUUUAUCCAUAUCUCAACAAUCAAUGCUAGCUCAUAAGUCGAAGUCACCUAUAGUGACCUGUACGACUUAUCCAUAUCUCAUCAAUCAAUGCUAGCUCAUAAGUCGGAGUCACUUAUAGUGACUUGUACGACUUAUCCAUAGCUCAUCACAUAUCCCUGCACACGAGUCAGAAUCAUCUAUAGUGGUCUGUACGACAGGAUUUUGUGUAAAUAAAUACGCUUCAGUGCUACGAUCACGUGAAGACUGUGAGAAUAAACGCGGGUCACCAACGAGUUGGAACCAUCUAUAGUGGUCUGUAUGACAUGAUUGUGCACCUACCUUGGAUCUAAGGUGAGCGUAAGGUGCGGGAGGUGAACAUCACGUGAAUGACUGUGCCUUGGCCACGGGCGGGAGCACUAACACCGGGGUGCAGGUUUAUGAGCUUUACUUGCAUCUAUUAUAUUAUGUACGCCUCAUGGGCAACCUGUACGACAGUGUCGGAGUUGCCUAUCAUUGCAAUAUGUACGACAAGGUCGGAGUUGCCUAAAACAUACACAUAGUCAUGCCAUAACUCCCUCAUUUCCACUAAUACCAUAAACUCACCUGAACUUACCUGGGUGUCCUGUGUUCACCUUUGCACUUCAAAACGUUCAAAAUAAUUACAAGCAAUAAAUAUACAUAUAAAUAUACCAUGAUGCAAUCUAAUACUCAAUCAUGUCAUAGCAUUUACAAUUAUAUAUAUAUAUAUAUAUAUAUAUAUAUAUAUAUAUAUAUAUGUAUAAUAUGGCAUAAAAUGCAUAAGCUGUAACACCCUACUCCCGAACUAUUUAUUUUCGGAAAUAAUAUGGCUCAACUAAACAUUAAUUUAACUAACUAUCAAUAGUUAGGAUUCUUUACUUCAAUUUCUCAAUCCUUCACACAAUGAUUUAUAACCAACAUCCCAUCACUAAAUCAUAAGGAUAAAUCUCACAUUUUCCACCAAUGUCCCUCACAUUGCACAAUUUCCCAAAGAAGGCUAUUGUCUCAAUUAAUUAGUCUCAUUUAUAGUAUGGCUGCAUCUAACGUCUCGUUAGACUGCCUACGUACCCUAACAGGGAUCAAGCCAUUCGUAGUUCGCAUUACUACUUCAAAGCAUUCACAGUAAUUAUAUGCAAUAAUCAAUUUAUAAACAUUUGUGGAAUUGUCAAUCAUAUAUAUAUAUAUAUAUAAAAUAUACGAUAGAAAGGAAAAGACCCACUCACCUGAGGUCCGCGCUACGACUCCCUAGCAUGCAUAUCGAGACAUCACGAACUAUCGUUGCCUAUGACCAAUUAUCAAAUCACAUCUCAGAGUUCUGACCGAUGGAAUACAUAAUUUACAUAAAACACAUCACUACGUAAUUCAAUUUGAAAGAUCUGCAUCACAUAUUUCUGAUCCGUUGCUUCCAAAGAUCCACAUUAUACUUUUAGAACAACAUCCUACAGUUUCAUUAAGAUCCAACGGUCAGAUCUCCGCCAAUUGCCAAAACCAAAUGGUGGUCAACAUUUUAUUUUAUGAACUUAUAAAUCCAAUUCGGAAAGAUCCGUACAUCAAAUUCCCGAUCCAUAAGUUUUUAUGGUCCUCAAAUAUUACGUACUAAUGUAUCAAAGUUUGGUGACGAUCGAACGGACGAAUCAUCGAUUCAUAUAAAUGCCAAGCGAUGUAUCAUAAUGAAACUAAGUUCAAACAAUCAAACCACAUCAUAUGGAUAUCAAUUAUGACAUACAUCUAAUUGAACUUAAAAGGACAUCGUCGGUCCACUGGCUAGGCCGUCGCCGCACGUGCCGCCGCGCGUGGUGGUUGGCCACCACGGUUCGCCGGAAAAUUCCACUAUUUCUAAAAAUUCUCAAAUUUUACAGAAAUGAAGAUCUUAAGAGAUGAACAACUUUCAUACCUACCACGAAGUCCAAAAGUGGACGGAAGAUGGUCAAUUUUUCCCACAAAGCCGGCGGUGCCUAAAACUUCUCGGCGUUGAUUCCUCGUCUACGGUGGACCAACGGGGUCAAGGUUGGUUGGGAUUUGCUCCUGGGAUGAUGGGCUACAAAGCCCAAGUGGUGGCAUAGGCCAUCGCUUUGCUGAUUUGUCAAAAAAUUGAAAAGAGUGGCCAGACACGGUUUUGAUGGGUCGGAUUUUGUGGCUUCGCCCCGCCACAUGUGGUGGUUUCUAAAGGUGGUUCUUGGGUGGGUUUUGUAGAGGGGAAUGAGAGCUUCAAGAUGGUCAUGGUGGGGUCAAAAAACUCCAACGGAGUUUGCCGGAAUCUGCCUUGGAAGAUGGGUGGUCGUAAUGGGUGUGGGUGUGGGUGCACAGAAAGCUGGGAGCUUUCCCUUUUUGGUUUUCCUUCUUUUCCUAAUUUCUGAUUGGGCUGUUGCCCUCUCCCUCUCUCUAAUUGGAUCAUUGUCCCUUUAAUUUAAUUGGUCCACUAUUCUCACCUGGUGGGAGUUCAAAAUUAACUAACAAGUAACCAAUUUCAAAUAUCCAUAACGAUACCGUUAUAAUCCGGACUCGCAAACGGCGACUACGCAAAUACGCCAAAAGAAUAAGUCAUACUUUUUUCUAGACGAUGGUCAACAUAAAUCAAAAUCAUUGCCUCUAAACAUUUUUGUCAAUUCCCUCGAUUAAAAUAAAUAAAAACGAAAUUUUAGGGACGGAUUGUCACAACAAUUGUUUUUGGGUUAUAAAAUUUAAAUUUUAGCCUAAGGGUUGAAGAUGAUUUUAGUACUAGACAUGUUUCUAAUAUUUUCUUUUUGAAAAAUAAUUUUUGAAUUAAACUACCACAAAUUUUCUAUUCAUAAAAUGCAAAAUUCUUUUGUUGUUUCGUUUUGUAUAAUAAAAUUCAUCAAAAAAAAAAAAAAUAUAUAUAUAUAUAUAUAUAUAUAUUUUUUUAAACUUUACGAAUUGCUUCAUACCAUGCCAAGUGUGGUAUGGUUAACUGUUUAUAAACGGUUAUGGGUAUGGGUAUAACCGUUUAUGCAAUUACCCAACGCAUAAAUAGUUAUGCGGGUAUGAAUAUAAACGGUUAUGGGCAAAUAACCGUAGUUACCCGCCCGUCAUAACCAAUGCCCAUCACUACAAGUGUCCCAUGUCCCCAACUCACAUUGUCCAACCAAUUACUAAUUCCCACGUGUCAAAUAAUUCACUCACACUAACAAUCCCUGUCCAAGUAUUUACACCCAAAGUACCUCCUUUCCUUUCGCAUAUAUAUGCCCACAAAUCCCUCAGCCUUAACCCGCAAGGUCGCAAUUCUAUCUCCACCUUUCUUUAAUUAGGGUUUUGUUUUGGUCUUCGUCUCCUCACUUUCUGUUUCUAGGGUUUUGUUCGAUUCGCAAUUACGCAAUCUAGGGUUUUCACUGCAAUUAUCUCUCUAUAAAUAGUAUACAUUGAAAUAUUUCAUCUUUCGGUUCGGAUCCUAUUAGAAUUCUGAUUCCUUCUAUUCUGCAACUGUGAUCGUGGAGUUAGGUUUUCUGAAUCGUUCCUUGUUUGAUUCUUGAAAAGGGUUUUUUAUUUUGGGUUUGAUUUGGGGAAUUUGUGGAGUUUUGGAGAAUUUGAUUGGGGAAACCAUGCCUCCGAGGACGGUGAAGAGAGGUGGGGCGGCGGGAGCGAAGAGGACGACGAGAGUCACCAGGGGGACGCACAAGGCCCAGAACCAGGUCCAGCCUGAGGCUCCAGAUGAGUUGGUGAAGGCCGAGGAUGCGGUGCCGAUGGUGGAAUCUAAAGAGGAUCUCAAUGUUGAAGAGAUUAAGGAGAAGCCAAUUGCGGCGGACAAGCUCGUGGCUGUCGAGGAGAAGCCAGUUGUUGAUGAAAAGGCAUCCGUUAUUGAUCAGUCAGGGCCUUCAGAGAUGGAAGUUGAAGCGAAAGCAGAGCAGAAAGGAUUAAAAAGUAAGUUUUGUUUUCAUUAUGUAAUUUUGUUGGGGCUUGAUUGAAUUAAGUAAUUUGCUCUUGAUUUUCCACUGCUCUAUGUUUUUGCAUGAUUUUAUAUAUGUUUUAAGGGACUGUGGUAAUAAUGCUUAAUCUUUUGUCUAUAAUGUGGUUUUUGUUGUGGUAAAAGGGGUAGAGAAUGAGUAACAUUUUCUCAAUCAAAUUUCUUGUAUAUUUAAUUUUCUGUUAUGUGGGAUGUUGUAUAGAGCUUAGGGAAACAAUAAAACCAACUAAGGGAAAUAAUUUAGAAAGAUUCCGAAGAAUAAAUGUCUACACAGAAAUCCAUUGAGGAAUACGUUUUUGUAAAUCUGGUAAUGCUUGCUCUUCCAUGCACUUUGGUGGCUUUAAAUAGAAGUGGCCAACUUGUUCUUUCAAGAACAAUUAGUUCUUGAGUGGAGCGUAGAAGUCGGUGUGAGCGUAGUGGAUUGUUAACUUAGUUCUUGCUCGGUUAUGUGUCAAAAAGUUGGUUAAUAUAUGGAUCAAGGAUGACAGUAUAAACAGUGUAAGCAUGGAUCAUACUCUUUCCUCUUUGUUUUUAGCUCAGACUGGUUUAUGUGAAGAGCAUAGACGGGAAGUUUAAACCUUCUAAGUGGGAUCAUACUGUUGUGACUGAGUUUUGGAUCAAUUUUGUGUUUAGACAUUGUUUCAUAUGCAAGCAUUAAGUAUAGAAUGACACUUCAGGCAUUGUAAAAGUAGAUCAUGCCUUUUUUUGGGGAUCCGUUAUGUAUUAAUAUAAUCAUGGUAUUCUUUGUACUGUGUUUAUCUGCGAUGGACAAGGACCGUCUUAAUUAAAUUAUGAACUCUGCUUGAUCAUAAUGUAGAACUUGAGUCUCUUUUAACUUAAGGUAUUGUCAACCGUAAUUUAUCGCAGAACAAGAUAAGGUUAAGGAGUCUAUAGAUGAUUAUGAAAAAGAUGAACAAUUAGAGCUGGAGGAUAAUGAAGCUGAGUAUGAACCUGAAGAAGAUGGUGGGGUUGAUUAUGAUGAGAAGGAAAUGGAACAAGAGGAUAUCCAGGAGCUCGGGGAUGAAGGAGAUGAAGAACCUGAGGAGAUUGUAGGUGAAGAAGAAGGUGAUAUGGCUGAGGAAGAGUUGGAAGAUGGCCACGAAGAACUCGAGGGUGAAGAGUUUGAGGAGCAUGCUAGCGAGGAGCAUGAGCAUGAGCAUGCAGAGAUGGUUGACGAGGAAGAGGAGCACCAUGAAGUUGUAAAGGAGAGACGGAAGCGCAAGGAGUUUGAAGUAUUUGUUGGUGGUCUAGACAAGGAUGCAAGUGAGGCUGAUCUUAGGAAAGCUUUUGCUGGUGUUGGUGAAGUUACUGAGGUCAGGCUGAUGAUGAACCCUCAGACUAAGAAGAACAAGGGAUUUGCGUUCUUGCGUUUUGCAACUGUGGAACAAGCAAGGCGAGCAGUUGCGGAGCUUAAACAUCCAGUGGUAAUCUUUGAUCCUUUCGUAGUUCGAGCAGAAACUGGUUUCUUCAUAUAUUAAAUUCUAUUCUCUGAAUGAUUGCAAUUCCAGAUUAAUGGAAAACAGUGUGGUGUUACUCCAAGUCAAGACAGUGAUACUCUUUUUCUGGGUAACAUAUGCAAGACAUGGACAAAGGAUGCUGUAAGUAUAUUGGCUUACAUCAUUUCAAAAUUCUCUGACUUAUCAGGAGAUGAUUAAAAAUUUCUGACUUCUUUUGAUGGCUGUGGUUUCAGUUGAGAGAGAAGUUGAAACAUUAUGGAGUAGAUAAUGUUGAGGGUCUGACAUUGGUUGAAGAUACUAACUAUGAGGGAAUGAAUCGAGGCUUUGCUUUUUUGGAAUUUUCUUCUCGUUCAGAUGCCAUGGAUGCUUUUAAGCGACUUCAAAAAAGAGAUAUUGUGUUUGGAGUUGAUAGGCCUGCAAAAGUUUCUUUUGCAGAUUCCUUCAUUGAUCCUGGUGAUGAAAUCAUGGCACAGGUAACGUAAAUUUUCUGCUAUAUUAUAGGAACAAUAGGAUUCCUGGAUGGGUUAUCUUUCUGAUGAUCUGUUCUUGUGUUUUGGUGUAUGAACGUAUACAAAGGUCCUUGUAACAUCAAUUUUUUCCAUGAGUGUAUGGAGUCCUGGAUAAAUUCUCUGUUGUGCUCUUUUUUUAUGUUAUGGGAGAUGAUAGAGUUACAAUAUGCCCAUUGAUGUUCUCUUGUACAAGUAAUUUUUCUAGUUUGUUGACAAAUUAGCAUAUAGCACCUGUAACAUGUUGAAUUAGAUUCUUUGGAGUUGUUUUUUGGGUAGCAUUAUCUUAAUUUCGUGUUACUUGUUUUCUAAAAUCUUGUUAAUCUUUUCUCCUCAAUUGACUAUGAUAAAGUUAGUUAAGUAUGGGAAAGCAAUUGUGAUUGUGUUUCUUUGAUAUAGUGUUAUUAUGCAGUUUAGAGGAGUUUAGGUGAUUGUUGGAGCUGCUGACUAAAUAUCUUGAGAUGCAGGUCAAAACUGUGUUUGUUGAUGGCCUACCUGCUUCAUGGGAUGAGGACCAUGUCCAAGAUCUUCUUAAGGAAUAUGGGAAUGUUGAAAAGAUUGAGCUUGCGCGGAACAUGCCCUCUGCUAAGAGGAGAGAUUUUGGUUUUGUUACAUUCGACACUCAUGAGGCUGCAGUUACGUGUGCUAAAAGCAUUAACAAUUCAGAGUUAGGUGAAGGAGACAACAAGGUGUGUUGGCUGGUAACAGUUAUUUCAAAAUUAGACAUUACCGAUGAAAGUAUUUUAUGUAUUGGCAUUUGUUGGACAUGAAUUUAUGAAUAAUCAUCGUCACUUUUAGGCGAAAGUCAGGGCGAGGUUAUCAAGACCGCUCCAGAGGGGUAAAGGAAAACAUGUUGGGCGAGGAGAUUAUCGAUCUUCUAGGGGGGUUGGACGAGUUGUUAGAGGUUCAUGGGGUCACCCAGCACCACGCCCUCUCCCUCCUAUGCGUAGUGGGUUAAGGGGAGUUGGAAGUCGAAUCCCACCAGCCAGUGUAAAGAGGCCUGUUGCGCUAAGAGAUAGACGCCAUGUGAUGUCAUCUUAUCCACAAAGAGGCAGGCCUUUGCCUCCUCCAUCUAGGUCCUAUGACAGGAGGCCACCUGGUAUGCAAUAUUUUAAUUUAUAAUGGCUAAUGGGUUGUGUGACAACUUUUAUCUUGUGAAUAAUAAUAUUCCUAUACUCUUUCUAACAGUUCCUGCGUACCCAAAGAGUAGCUUCAGGAGGGAAUAUAGCAGGCAUGAGGACCUUCCUCCUCCAAGGAGUAGAGCAGCCCCUGAUUAUGGAUCAAGGGCUGUUCCAGAAAGACGCCAAUCGUACAGAGAUGAUUACGCUCAGCGUGGUCCUGCCUACUCUGAUCCACCAAGAAGUACAUCUCGUACAACAGGAAGGAGAGCUUAUGUUGAUGAAGGUUACGGACAGCGGUAUGAAAGGCAUCCUCCCCCUCCUCCUCCUCCAAGUUACCGUGAAGGUCGUGCUCGUGAUUAUGACACUAUUUCUGGUUCAAAACGUGCCUACUCUGCACUGGUUAGUGUUAAUGACGUCAUUUUCUAUAGCUGGAAAUGUAAUUUACUUGGUUUUCUCUGGUAGGAUAUGAAAUAGGGCUUACAUUCUUCUUCCAUGUGUUCUAGGAUGAUGUUCCUCCCCGUUAUGCUGAUGCGGGCAUCCGCCAAUCAAGGGCACGGUUAGACUAUGAGUAUGAAAGUGGUUCGUCUCAAUAUGGUGAUGGCUAUAGUGACAGGUUUGUUCCUUGAAUUGUAACAUUAACUUUUUAUUAUCUCGUGUGGAUGCAGCAACUUACCUUUUGUUGUGUAUGAUAGACUUGGGAGAUCUAAUAUGGGAUAUGGAAGCAGCAGAACAAGUCAGGAUUCUCAUGGACUAUACAGCAGUCGUCAGGGCAUGGGCUAUGGAGGAGGUGCGAUUGUAAUUUCUGGUUAUCUGAUAGAUAGUAGUUUUAUUGUUGAAACCAUAGAAUUAAGGGUCUUAAGGUUUUUUAAUUUCUUUUUCAGGUUCUUAUGGUGGUAGUGACGUUGGUGGAAUGUACUCAUCCAGCUAUGGUGGUGAUUAUAUCUCUCGUGGCAGUGACGUAUGCACCUAAUCUGAUUUGAUUAAAUGAAAAUAAUAGGUGUUCCAUUUAGCUGUCUCAUAUAUCAUUAUAUCUUGAUUCUCUAUUGUAGGUUGGAGGUAGCUCUUACUCAUCAAUGUACUCUGGCCGUGGUGCGGGUGGAAGCAGUUAUAUGGGUUCAGGUGGUUCUGGCUCAUACUAUUGAGGUAAUUUAGAUUGUUGUGUUUUUCAUGUUUUGUUAAGUUUCAUGUGUGUGUAAUUAUGAGAGCGAUGCGUGUGUCAUUAUUACUAUUUUCCGGCUGGAGAUUUAUUUUCUUCCGAAGGCACGACAUCUCGUCUUUGGCUCUAAGAGGUCAUUGGUGAAAACAGAGCAAUAUAUGGUUACAAGUGAAUUUGUCUAUGGAACAGAUCUGACAUGAUGAAGAGGAUGCUGUGGGAUGUGGACUGUAUGAAGCUUUUUACCAUUAUGAUGCCUAGAGUUAUGGACACAGAAUUUCCCUAAGAACCUAUGUAUGUGCUGAGGAGCCGCCCUCUUAGAUUUCCAGAGAUUGGAUAUUGUGCCAGGCUGUAGUUAUUUUGCUGCAAGGAAACUCAAGAUAUUCGGAGAUGCAAGUGCUUAGUUUAUGACGUGUCUUCUACUUCAUCUACUAGAAGAACUCCACCUGACGGAAAAUUUGGAGUCCUGCUGCAUCCUUUGUUCGUAUGAAUAGAUAAGACUAUAACAAGAGAAAGAGGAUUUUCUUAAUGUGAUUAUAAGGUAUUUUGGAUAUUUUUAAUGCUGAAUCCUUUGGAAAGGUUUGAAUAAUAAAAGCCGUUUUGGCCGUUUUAGAUCGCUUAAUCAAUUCAGUUCCAUAUCGUUGAGUGGGUUAUCACGGAACUGAAGGCUAUAAGGAAAGAUUCAGCUUGCUUGGAAUUGUACGAGAUUGUGGUCCAAAAAGGUAGACCUGGAAUCUGUUGCCUGGUGUGUACAGUUUUAGUUACCGCGUGAUUUAAAUUUGCAUUUUUGACAUAUAUAUUGAUAUUUAAGGAAACAUAUUGGGAAAUUACAAAGAAGAAUGAGUAGGACUCUAGUUCAUAAAAUUAUCUUACAUUGCUUGCUAAAAUCUCGAUUGAAGUAUUAUUCUUAAGUUCCUUGCAACCUCUACCAAGAACUGUGAGAGUCACCUGAGAGCAAAAGUAGGACUGAAAAACACUGAAAGAACACUCUUGCUACUGUUAUCUGGAUUGCAGAAAGUCGGUAUUUGUAAAGAAGGGAUGCAAUUGGCAAGUAUUCCACUUUGUAGAAGCACGUCUUAAUGUGGAAUAUCCCAUACUAAGUGUGGGUGGAUCACUUUGGCACGUUCACGGAGUCUAAAAGUUGGUUGUAUCUUUACGAGCAAUUCUCGCAGAUUAAAAGCUUGUGGAACUUGGAGGUAACUAGUACCUGAGUUGAGUCCUUGUCCUUGUAUUGUUCAUUAGGGCUUGUUAUGGUCAAGAUAGCUUAAAUCUUCUCAAAUCCUUUCGAUCAACUCAUUUUGAUUGCUUUAGCGUAUCCAAGGACUAGUUGCUGGUUGGAAGUUGUUUCACUUGAGCGGUUUUACUUUGAUAUGCUUUUGAUACAUGCCAGUAUCCUAUCGAUGUUCGGAUGCAACUGAAUGCUGGAUUGAAUUUUAAUGGGGUGCCAUAUACUUUUUGUUAUUCGUGUUCACUAGUGAAAUACGACAACCUGAUUGUGUGGAAAACCUAGACAGUCCUCGUUGUAAUGGGCAACGUAUUGUAUUUGGUAUAAAAUUUGCAGGACUCUCUCUCUAUCUCUCUCUCUCUCUCUCUCUCUCUCUCUCUCUCUCUCUCUAGAUUGGGAUUGGGAUUGUGAUUGUGAUUGUUCUAAAGGAAGAAUGGUUGGAUGUGUUUUUUUGUACAGGUAAAAUAAGAAUUUAAUGAAUGAAACCUAAAUACCGCGCCUUCUGGUGCGAGUCAUCCAGUAAAAUGAGAAAUUCAUUGUCAUUGUAAAACUGAAGGACGUUAAACAUACUAGUCGUAUAUAAACCACAAUUUUUGCGCGUCUUGUACGCUUAUCUAGUUCUAUUUCGAAAUUUUGUAGUCAAGUUUGUAAUCGCUUCUAUUUUUGGAUUGUCCUCUUGGAAACCUUAACAAACCUUCGAUGGCUUAAUGUAGAGCAGCAAUUAAGAUUUGGUAAUAAACACUCCUGCUUGGGUUUUAGACGUAGGAAAAAGAACUGCUUUAAACAAUUGAAAAAAAAAGUAUUUAAGUAACAAUCUCUAAAUCGAACCUAAGAUCUCUCACUUACAAGUGAAAAGGAAUAUCACUAGACCGUAGUACUAAGGGACUGUUAUCUUAGAUGCAAAGCGUUCAUCUUCUAUAUAUAGGGAGCACACCAGUUUUGUGAAGCUUUUAUAAUAGGAAGCUUUAUAUAUAGAGAUAAAAACUUUCAUUAUAUUUUAAGGAAUUCCAUUAGUUUUUAAAUAUGUCAAAGAGAGACAAAAAUAUAAAAAUGACUAAAGCGUAGCCCAAAAACAUGGAAACAAUAUUUUAAAAUACCAGUCAUACCCCUAAGGCUUUAGGAUUGUUAAAAGAACCUAGCCUUCACAACUCCAACAAAACUAAUUGUGCAGUAAGCUCAAUCCAUCAUCAACUAUUUCUGCAGAAUUAGUUCAACCUGUCCUUAACAAUUUUUGCAGAAUCAGUUCCAUCUAUCCCAACCAUUUUUGUAGAAUCAGUUCAAUCACUCUUUGACCAUUUUUGCAAAUUUGUUCAACCCUUCAUCGAUUAUUUUUGCAGAAUCAAUUCAAUCGGUAUUCAACAAUUUUUGCAGAAUUAGUCACCCAUCCUCGAUUAUUUUUACAAAAUCAGUUCAACCCGUCAUCGACCAUUUUUGCAGAAUCAAUUUAAUUAGUCUUCAAUUAUUUUUGCAGAAUCAGUUCAACUUGUCAUUGAUCAUUUUUGCAGAAUUAGUUCAAUCAGUCAUCGACUAUUUUUGCAGAAUCAGUUCUACCCGUCUUCGAUUAUUUUUACAUAAUCAAUUUCACUUGUCUUCGACCAUUUUUGCAAAAUCAGUUCAACUGGGUCGACGUCUGCUACUUCAAGAUUAAGGACUUGGCCGAGAAGUUUGCCAUCCUUCACUUUGGUAUUUGCCCCUUUCGUUGGGACUUCUUUAGGGGUUCUUGAUUGCUCAUCCAUAUGGGUCUUUUGCUUCUCCUUUCUGGUUUUUUGUUUCUGCUCUGUAUAACUGUCAAUAAAGUGAAGCAGAAAAUAAAGUACAAAAAUUUAGGAAUUUGCACCUGCAACACGACUCAGACAUCGAAUCAAUGAAAGAAGAGAGAAAUUAGAACAAAAUUGAAUUGGGUGUUGGAGGCUUCUCGUCGAUUGCCAAUCUUUCAAGCUCUGCUCCAACUUCCUCUUCGGCCUAAUAUUAAGAGAGGAAGAAAGAGAAGGGAGGAACAGAUGAAGAGAUGGAAUUGUGAAAAGACUUUACCACUAUAAAUAGCACUUUUGUAACUGACACUCUAAAAAGAAAAAGACUAAUGUCAUCUUUUACAUGUAUUAACUUUUAUCCCUCUUAAAAUGUUUAAAAAAUAUUAUCUCAAUUUAAAAUUAACUUUCCAUAUGUGGACUAAACUUGUGAUUUUCGAAUUGCGUCUAACUUUUUCAUUUAUAAUUUUCCUAACUUAAAAGUUUGAAAUAUCAAAUUUACACAUGCAUUUGCCAAUGUAAAUAAUUUUCGAAGUGCCUCACGUGCCCUGCCCACUGCCCAAGUGUUAUACAAAUUAUUUUCCAUUUUUGACCUAGCUGGGAUCAACAGUGUUUUCAUCAUAUGACUAAGCUGUAAUUUACAAUAUUUUCUUAACAAAACUAAUGAAAAAAGUUUGAAAACUUUGCGUUUUAAUGAUAACGACAAAAUAAAGGGUAAAGUGAAUAGUACCAGAAUUGACUUUAAAAAGUGUACUUUAACGAAAAACUCCUAAUACUGUUCAUUUUUUAUACUUUUUAUACUUAAUUUUGUAUUAAGAUAGCAGUUUUUAAACAUUUCAAGAAAAAAUAAAACUUAAUACAUGUGUAAGAUGAUAUUAUUGGUUUUAUUUUUCUUUGAAGUGUGAGUUAACAAAAUGGCCUUUAUACAAUAAAUCAACCGUUGAGAUUUAAUUCUAGCAAAACAAUUGCAAACUCCAUCAUGCCAACCAAAAAGCUCCACCGCUUCCCUCUGCCAUCUUAUCCACUCAUAUGUUCCAUGGCUGCUUCUGCAUCAACCCAAAUGCUCUGUCCUCUUCCACCAUCCAUGUGGGUUCAUCGCCAUCUGAUAACCAGUCAGAAAAAUUGGUUGGUUUCUGACCUAUUAUCAUUUUAUUUCCUCUAAAUAGUAAAUUUAUUAAUUUUGUAAAAAAAAAGAGGAAAUUUUAACGAAAAAAAACUCUCGGUAAUGUCCACUCUAAUGAAAAAUUAUAUUUUUACACUAAAAAGUCAAUCAUAUACUAUUCAUUUUACCCUUUAUUUUGUUUUUAUCAUUAAAACUCAAAGUUUUUAAUCUCUUUUCAUUAGUUUUCAUUUUAAAGAAAGCUUUAAUUUUUUAUCAAACGAUAGAUUUUGUUAGUAAGUUAAUUAUUUUUCAAAAUAUAAUAAUAAAGCAUAAUAAUAUCUAAACUAAAUAAAAUUAAAACCAAAAACAAAAAGGUAAAAUAAUAUAAAAGAACCAUAUAAUGAAGGGUUGAUCUUCCCAAUUCCCAACAACAUAAAAGUUAUAGCUUAUUUCAAACUAUACCCCUAAUGUUUGGGGUCAAUUACAAAAAGGACUCCUCUUUUCAAUUUACUACUUAAGAUUCACAAACAAAUAAAAAUAAAAAAAAUUAAUACUUAAGGUUGUAAAGUUUUGGGGAACUGCCAAAUUAGGGCUAUAAAAUCUCCAAUUUUGGAGUCAUAUUGAAUCAUGCAAUAUUAUUUUGAAGCCAAUUUGAUUCUAGUAUGCCUUAUAAAGUAACGUAGGUGGUGUAUUUCAACAGUUCAAAGAGACAUGUGGUAAAAAAUAAAAAUUAAAAGUUCAAGUGGUAUUGUAGACAUUGAAAUUUUGGUGGCAUAAAUGUUAGCGCUUGCAUUAAGAUUACAUUUGUAAACAUUGAAAUUUUAGUGAAAUAAAUGUUGACCAUUGUGUUAAAACUACAACCUUCAUCCAAAUUCACCUACAACCCCCACCCAAAUUCACCUACAACAACCAAUCCAAAUUCACCUACAACCUCCACCCAAAUUCACCUACAACAAUCCAUCCAAAUUCACCUACAACCUCAACCCAAAUUCACCUACAACAAUCCACCAAUUCACCUACAACAUACACCAAAACAAAUGGAUGGUGGUGGUUCAUUCUCAAGGCCUAUAAAUAGGCUCCUCCAUCAAAGAAUCAAAGGAGGAUUUUAGAUACACUUUCUCUACUCCCAAAUUGGAAGAGAAAUCACACCACACCAAAGCCUUGAAGCCUCGAAACUCUGAAGCUCUCAAGUAAAUCCCGAAGGAUCAAGAAAGCCCUAUCUGUUCUUCGUGAAAUCCUCCUUCAAGAUCAAGCUCCAACGCCCCUUGAAGAACUUCCACCCAUUCAAGAUCAAGCCCCGACGGCCCUUGAAGAAGGUGUUCAUCAUUCAUCAACUGUUCGUCCAAGAUCAAGCCUCGACGGCCCUUGGAUCAACAACACUACAUCUACACGUUUCAAAGAUAGAAUCAGAGGAUAAAUUUGUAGAAGAGAUUGUAACCCCUAAAUCAUUAAUACAAAUAUUAUUUUGGACACGUGUUCUUGUCUCUUUCGUUUCAGGAAUUUCCGUGUUUACAAAUUUGGCACGCCCGGUGGGACAGUCUCUACCUCUCAUCUCUAUCUUUGAAUCCGCAACAAGCACAAAUGGCGUCAAGGAAGGCCCAAGUUGUUCUCGCUGCCAAUGCAAGAAACAAGAGCGUCAUCACGACAGGGGGCAUCACUUCAGGCAUCAUAACUCGAAGUAAGGCAAAAGCUCUUUCCGCCGCCUCUUCCGCCCCUUCAUCAACUCCGCCGAAGGCACAAGAGCACCCGAGGUUCGAACCGGUGAUCACCCUGGCCUCGCUCAGGGCGCCAAGAGAGGAAAGCCAGAGGAAGUACUCUGAAUCCUUACUUUCCGAUGCCGACUCGAGCAGCGGCAUAGCUAUGCAAGUCAUGGUUACCGGAACAACUUCAAUUGAGGAGCAGCUGGCUCAGAUGAACGAAGCAAUCGCAAAGCUCACAAGGACUGUGGAGGAAAAAGACCUGCAAAUCGCAGCACUUGUUAACCAACUAGAUGCAAAGCCCGAUGAGAAAGCCAGGCAAGGGGAUAAUCCGGUAAAGAAGGAAAACGACGAGGAUGAGGAACCUCCAGUGGAGAACGUCGAAGAGACGCUGAAGCUAGACCAAGCGGCGACACUCAUGGGGUCUCUCUCUCUAUCCAGCAGCUGCAGGAGAUGAUCGCCAACACCAUCAAGGCGCAGUAUGAAGGAAGCUCACAUGAUUCCGUACUAUACUCAAAGCCCUACUCCAAGAAGAUUGACGCUUUGAAGAUGCCAAAGGGCUAUCAACCACCAAAGUUUAUGCAGUUCGAUGGAAAGGGGAACCCGAAGCAACAUAUCGCCCACUUCAUUGAAACCUGCAGCAAUGCUGGAACAGAGGGAGACUACCUCGUCAAGCAGUUCGUGCGCUCGCUGAAAAGCAACGCCUUUGACUGGUACACCGACCUCGAGCCCGAGUCUAUCAGCAGUUGGGAUCAGCUAGAAAAGGAAUUCCUCAACCGUUUCUACAGCACGCGCCGCACCGUAAGCAUGCUGGAGCUGACCAGUACGAAACAGUGGAAGGAGGAACCCGUCGUCGACUACAUCAAUAGAUGGCGUUCAUUAAGUCUGGAUUGCAAAGAUCGGCUCUCUGAAACCUCUGCCAUUGAGAUGUGUGUUCAAGGCAUGCACUGGGGGUUACAUUACAUUCUCCAAGGCAUAAAACCAAGAACGUUUGAGGAGCUGGCAACGCGCUCCCACGACAUGGAGCUGAGUAUCGCCAAUCACGGAAAGAAUGAGCCGAUCACCCACUUCAAGAAGGAUAAGGUGUUCGCCCCGAGUGUGGACAAGACCGGAAAAAAGCCUGCAAAGGAAACUUUUACUGUCAACACUACCCCCAUCAAAACCCCAUCCGCGCCUAUCAAGACCACCUCUGCACCUAUCAAGAUUUCCUCCAAGACCAAGGCAAAGGAGACAAAAAGAAGUGAGCCUCCUCGCACCCAAGACAAGUAUAAAAACACCUUGAGAGAGUUGGAGCAAAAGACGUACCCUUUUCCUGACUCAGACGUGGAUGCAAUGUGUUAGAUGACUUGCUGGAAAAGAAGGUAAUUGAGUUACCAGAGUGCAAGCGCCCUGAAGAAAUGAAUCGAACGAACGAUCCUAGGUACUGCAAGUACCAUCGUAUCGUAAGCCAUCAUGUGGGCAAAUGCUUCGUCCUCAAAGAACUCAUUAUGAAGCUAGCGCAACAAGGGAGAAUCGAGCUAGACCUUGAGGACACAGCCGCAACACAUACUACUACAGUGGCGUUCGGAUCCUUCGAUCCCGUGCCUCUCCAAACGACACCCAACCAUUCCUAUCAAUGUGCAAGCUACACGGCGCCUUCUACACAACCAUCGCCGGGGGCAAACGAACAAGAUGCGUAUACCGAUGAUGAUGAAGGAUGGACAUUGGUGACCUACAAAAAAACAAAGAAACCAAAACCACAAGCCACAAGACCAAAGGUGGAACAAGUGAGAAAACACCGUCGCCGCAACAGUAGGAAGCCUAAAAGAAACGUAAAAGUCGAUAAGCCAACGUAUGCUGGGGAACCCGUGGAGCAAGAGCCACGCAUUCCUGUCUCCUUGCGCGAGUACUUCCCGAAUGACUUCUUCCAACAGUGCACCAUCGCUGCAUGCCAUAUGGUCGAAGUAGAAACGGAAGAACCUUCAAAAAGCAAAGAUACCACCACUGAGGGAGAAAAAACUCUCACGCUCGAAGAAGGUCUGCCAACACACUUUAGCAUUGAGGAAGCGCUACGAUUACCAAAGAAGAUGCGAAUAGCAUUAGCAGCGGCCUUGGAAAGUCCCAAUGAACAUGAAGUGCAAGAAAGCAAAGAACGAAGACUUGAAGCUUCGGCCACAUGAAUGUGCCACAUGUUGUGCCAUAGAGGACGCAAUCCAUUUCACCGACGAAGACUUGCUGCUAGGAUCCAAGCCUCACAACCGUCCUCUCUUCGUCUCUGGGUAUGUAAAGGAGCACACAAAGUCAACCGCAUGCUUGUGGAUGGUGGAUCAGCCAUAAACAUCAUGCCAAAGUCGACAAUGAUUACAAUCGGCAUCAAGGCGGAUGAACUGUCCCUAAGUCGUCUACUAAUCCAAGGUUUUAAUCAAGGAGGACAAAAGAGCGAUGGGCAUGAUCCGAGUGGAGAUGACUAUUGGCGAACUCAAGUCGAGCACGAUAUUCCACGUGAUUGAUGCAAGAACUUCCUACGGCUUACUCUUAGGAAGGCCUUGGAUCCAUGCGAAUGGAGUAGUACCGUCCACCCUUCACCAAUGCUUAAAAUUCUACCGAGAAGGAGUGAAGGUGAUCUAUGGCGACACCAAACCAUUCACUGAAGCCGAAUCACAUUUCGCAGACGCCAAGUUCUACAUGGAUGAAGACAUGGUGCCCGAAGCUCUUCCAAAAGAGAUCAAAUCCACGGGCAAAGCAACACCUAAAAAAGCAGGAACGACAAGCCAUGCCCAAGAAGCAAGAAGAAGAAGUUACGCCGUCUUCAAGCAAGAACGAUAAUGAGCCGGCUAAACGUGCAACAACAAAGGAGAGUAAGACGCCCUCAAAUGGACCAAACACACCCGUCUUCCGAUACAUCCCGAUGUCGAGAAGAAAGAAUGGUCAAUCCCCGUUCGAAACUGGAGCAAACAAAGCCGAUGCACAGAGGUAUAUGGAUAAUGUAAAGUUGCUCAAGACGAAUGCAGUUUUACCUCUGACGCAGCUAGGCGGCACUAAGGUCGCAAGACUACCACAAGGCUUCAUAAAAGCUCUACCAAAGGGGGUGGAACCAAGCUUUCUCCCAACCCAGAGGACCGAAGAAGGUUUUGAUCCAAACGCCUAUAAACUCAUGUCGAAAGCUGGCUACGACUUUGCUUCUUCUUCGAAUCAUGGAAAGAAGGUUUCAAACACCGUUAACAAUAAAGAAACGUGACCUCACCGAGACUCAAAGGAAGUUGAAGAAGCACGGUUACGGAGUUGAUAACAACAAAAGCUGGACUAGGCUUCACACCAAACGCACCCGUGAAGAUUUCAAGCAAAGCGAAAAAUGCUAGCACUCAACACAUCAGCGUGAGUAAUGAACAAGAUCAUGAUGAGCCUAAAUCCACCCCUUGGACGUCAGUCUUCGAUAGGAUGAAUCGUUCAAAACCCAGAAUGUCAGCAUUUAACCGCAUUGGUGGUCAAAACCGAACCUCCGUCUUCAAGAGACUUAACAUGCUAGCAUCCCAAAGCUCUGUUUUUGAAAGGUUGUCAAAACCUAAGAAGCAAAGCAACACGACUAGCUCUCUUCCUCGUCAGUCAGCUUUGGAAAGACUUGAAGACAACAAGAAGUUUUCUAGAAAUAGGAAGACCACGUCAAAGGAAGAAAAGCUCGUCAUGAUAGCAGAAAAAUGUGAUAUUCGAAGCUCAAUUCCUUCAAGGAUGAAGCGCCAAGCAAUCUUUGGAGGUGGACACAAAUGGACCACUAAAAGUAAGAAGGCGCACCAUCAUCCACACUGGACAAUCUUCAUGCCGACCAGCCCAAGAGGACGACACCGAAGAGGAAUUCCAAGAUGUCUUCCACAUCACGAUCCAAGAAAGCGAAGAAGAAUGAGAUCCCCGAAGAAGGUGUCACUGCUGCGCCACCACAACUGGAGGAUGGGGGGCAAUCCACAGUCGAUGAUCUCAAGGAACUCAAACUUAGGCAAAGAGGAGCAGAGACCUAUCUUCGUGAGUGCGUUGCUAAGUGCGGACGAGGUAGACGAGUAUUACCAACUGUUAUCAGAGUACAAAGACGUCUUUGCUUGGACUUACAAGGAAAUGCCCGGCCUUGACCCUGUCAUCGCUGUACAUCAUCUUGCAGUUAAGCCCGGAACGAGACCAAUAAAGCAAACUCAAAGGCGCUAUCGAUCCGAGCUCAUUCCACAAAUUGAGGUAGAGAUUGACAAGCUAAUCGAAGCAGGCUUCAUUCGAGAGGUGCAAUACCCUAAGUGGAUCUCCAACAUCGUCAUCGUCCUUAAGAAAUCUGGACAAAUACGUGUUUGUGUAGACUUUCGGGACCUCAAUGACGCUUGCCCGAAAGAUGACUUUCCCUUGCCGAUCAUCGAAAUCAUGGUGGACGCGACCACUGGCCAUGAGGCACUGUCAUUUAUGGACGGCUCUUCUGGAUACAAUCAAAUUCGUAUGGCUCUCGAAGAUGAGGAACUAACAGCAUUCCGCACUCCAAAAGGUAUCUACUGCUACAAGGUGAUGCCCUUUGGUCUAAAGAACGCUGGAGCCACAUAUCAGCGAGCAAUGCAGAAAAUCUUCAAUGACAUGCUACACAAAAACGUAGAAUGUUAUGUAGACGAUGUGGUGGUCAAAACAAAGAAAAGAUCAGAUCACUUGAAGGAUUUGCGAGUAGUGUUCGAAAGGCUGCGAAAAUACAACCUUGAACCGUUAAAAUGUGCAUUUGGCGUCACCUCAGGAAAGUUUCUCGGCUUCGUUGUCAAGCACCGUGGCAUUGAAGUGGACCAAUCAAAGAUCAAGGCCAUUCGAAACAAUGCCCGAGCCAAGAAACCUGCACGAGCUGAAAAGUCUACAAGGACGACUAGCCUUCAUCAGACGCUUCAUCUCCAACCUUGCAGGGCGUUGUCAACCGUUUAGUCGACUCAUGAAAAAGGAUGUCCCGUUCGUAUGGGACGAAGCGUGCCACAACGCUUUUGAAAGCAUAAAAAAAUAUUUAUCAAGUCCACCUGUCCUGGGGGCGCCUGUGCCCGGGAAACCACUCAUAUUGUACAUCGCCGCUCAGGAAAGUUCAGUGGGAGCACUCUUGGCACAGGAAAAUGAAUUCCAGAAAGAAGGAGCGCUUUACUACUUGAGUCGAACACUCACCGGCGCUGAGUUGAACUACUCCCCAAUAGAAAAAAUGUGCCUUGCCUUGGUGUUUGCCAUCCAGAAGCUUAGACAUUACAUGCAUGCUUACACCAUCCACUUGGUUGCUAAAGCUGACCCGGUUAAAUACGUCAUGUCCAAGCCAGUUUUGACAGGGCGACUAGCUAAAUGGGCGUUGAUUCUCAAUCAAUACGAGAUCAUUUACGUCCCAGCUAAAGCCGUCAAGGGACAAGCAUUUAGCAGACUUCCUUGCCGAUCAUCCAAUCCCAGCCGAUUGGAAAAUCUCAGACGACUUGCCUGACGAGGAGGGUAUUCUACAUUGACAUAUUCCCGAGAUGGACGAUGUUCUUCGACGGAUCUGCACGAGCAGACGGAGCGGGGGCAGGAGUAGUAUUCAUGUCGCCACAAAGGCAAAUACUACCUUAUUCAUUCCAACUAAGCGAAUUGUGCUCCAACAACGUCGCUGAGUACCAAGCACUAAUCAUCGGGCUCCAAAUGGCGAUCAACAUGGAAAAUCACAACCCUCGAGGUAUAUGGCGACUCCAAGCUCAUAAUUAGUCAACUCUUGACUGAAUAUGAGGUGAGAAAAGACGAUCUCGUCCCGUACUUCCGACUGGCAACUCAGCUGCUACAAAAGUUCGAGGCCGUAACACUAGAACAUGUGCCGAGAAAAGAAAAUCAAAUGGCAGACGCUCUCGCUAACCUAGCCUCGAGUAUGACACACUAGGAGAAGACGAAGCGGCAGACGUGCCAGUUUGCCAAAGAUGGGUCAUCCCCCUCGCCACCGAAAUGCUACUAGAUGAUACAAAUGUCAUCUCGGUACUUCCAGUCGAUGUUGAAGAAUGGAGACAACCAUUGAUUGACUACUUAGAGUAUGGAAAACUUCCAAAUGAUCCUAGACACCGCUCUGAAAUACGUCGACGAGCACCUCGCUUCCUCUACUACAAAGAAAACACUCUACCGGCGCUCUUUUCGAAGGAGUACUUCUGAGAUGCCUAGGUGAGGAAGAAGCCAAUCAAGCCAUGGAAGAAGCGCACUCAGGCGUGUGCGGGGCGCAUCAAUCUGGACCAAAGCUACAUUUUCCAGCUCAAAAGAAUGGGUUACUACUGGCCAAGUAUGGUGAAGGAUUGCCUGGAACAUGCCAAAAGGUGCCAAGCUUGCCAAUUCCACGCCAACUUCAUACAUCAACCACCUGAACCAUUACACCCUACAACUGCUUCGUGGCCAUUCGAUGCAUGGGGACUGGACGUCGUGGGACCAAUUACUCCAAAGUCAUCUGCAGGAGAAGCCUACAUCCUAGCUGCAACAGAUUACUUUUCCAAGUGGGCUGAAGCCAUACCCCUAAGGGAAGUAAAAAAGGAAACUGUUGUCCGUUUCAUCAAAGAACAUAUCAUCCACAGAUAUGGUGUGCCUCGUUACAUUAAUCACGGACAAUGGAAAACAGUUCUCCAACCGACUUGUAGACGAGCUCUGUGAGAAAUACAAGUUCAAGCAGCAUAAGUCUUCCAUGUAUCAUGCUCCGGCCAACGGUCUAGCGGAAGCAUUCAACAACAAAACAUUGUGCAACCUCUUAAAGAAGGUGAUCGGCCGAACAAAGAGGGACUGGCAUGAAAGAAUAAGCGAAGCACUUUGGGCAAUAUAGGACGACGCAUAGGACUCCUACCCAAGCUACCCCUUAUUCUCUCGUAUAUGGCGUGGAAGCUGUUUUACCGCUAGAAAGUCAAAUCCCUCACACUUAGGAUGGCUAUACAAGAAGGUUUGACUGAUGAAGAGAAUGCAAAGUUGCGCCUUCAAGAGUUGGAAUCACUUGACGAAAGAAGGCUCGAAGCUCAACAACACCUGGAAUGCUACCAAGCACGGCUAUCCAAGGCAUUCAACAAGAAGGUCCGCCCAAGGUCUUUCCAAACUGGAGAUCUCGUCCUUGCAUUACGAAGGCCUAUCAUCACAACUCACAAGACAAAAAGCAAGUUCACAUCAAAGUGGGAUGGACCGUACGUAAUACAAGAGGUCUACAUAAGCGGCGCCUACUUAAUCAUGGCAGAGGACGGCUUGAAGAUCGGUCCCAUCAAUGGCAGAUUCUUGAAGCGUUACUACCCCUAAAAAGCGACGACCAGACUCCUUGCCUGCAUGAGCCUAAACUGCACACGGCACAAAGCUCCUGGCCCGCAAGAGCAUAAACUGUGUACGGCAAAAUCAUCAUCAAAAUCACUAUAAAAAAAAAAUAAAUAAAUUCAUCGCUCAUUUGAACUACGUUGUGACUUGAUCCCUCAUCAACCGGGGGUACGUAGGCAACUUGAAACUUAAAAAAAACUUCAAGUACAGUCACAUCAUCAACAAAAACACAAAUACUUUGAAGAAAUAAAAGAGCAAAUGCAAGAAGGCGAAUACUUCAAAAAAAAAAAAAAAAAAAAAAAAAAAAAAAAAAAAAAAAAAAAAAAAAAAAAAAAAAAAAGAGAAAAACUACUACGGAGGCGAUCUUGAAGCAAGCCUUCCAAAGUCUUCAAAGUCUCCACCUCGGUCGGAGACAAGGUGGGCAAAUCCAUAGCCAGGCCUUUCUCUUGUUCUAGACGUGAGGUCUCCUCAUGGUGCUGAGAAAGUGUAGCUCUCUGUUCUGCAAGAACUUUUUCAAGUUGUGAUGCUUGAGUUCCCAACUGCUCUCGCUCUCGUACCAACGCAUCCAGACGCACCUGGACGGAAGCUAAAGAAGCCUCUGUGACUUGAUAAUCUCCCGAAGCAACUUGCUGAGAAGACCGGACUCUCGGGCCAAGGACAAGUCUAUCGCUGCAAGCUGUUGAGCUCGAUCAUCUGGGCUCAAUUUCUUCAAGGAAAUAGCGCGCAAGGAAGAAUACUCAGUGGAGGCGGCCAUAAGUUCGGCAAUCUUGUUCCUCAAAGACGAAGAAUCAACAUUAAGGUUGUCAAUCGUAGAAACAAGCUUCGACAAAUCUUCUUCGAGCAAUGAAAGGUCUUCCAGCGAACACUUCGAAAUCCUACUCUCAAUAUGGCUUUUUGACAUCCAAGGCAGCACGAAGUUUGAGGCGAUGGAUAAAUUGCUCGGUACCAUUAAGGUUCGGCCCUCUCAAAGAGAUCGCAGAACUAGCUGGCAAAGGUGCUGGACGUAUGAUGGACUCUUGCACGCCUUCACCUACACACGGCAGGCUUGGAAGAUUGGGCGAAUUUUGAACGAGCUCUUCACCGGGCGGAUCCCCGAUCUCCCCGUCUGUAAGCAGAUCGCCUCCAAGUAGCAUAUCCAUAUAGGAGUGAACACCCGCGGCGGCCAAAUCAAAAGGACAAGAAGGCCCCAACCUAAAGAAGACGAAGAGAGGUGUUAGAAGCAAAAGCUGAAAUAAGAAUAAGAAGUCAUGAGAGAGAAAGAAAAUGCAUACAUCUUUCUCUAGAGACACACGACCAUCGGAUUGGGGAGGCCUAAACACUUCUUUCUUUUUAUGACGAAAAUUGACAUCGCUGUCAACCUGAGCAACUUCAAGUGGUCGUUUGUUUAAAACUUGUUGGCGCUGCCGCAAAACAAGUCCAUCUUCAUACGAAUCAACCUCGUCACCCGCCUCUUCAGAAGCAUCCAAAUGGUGAGGAGAUGAGCACAAACGUUGACGGACUAAAGCCACAGGUCUGUCUUGCAAGGGAGUUGCACUCACACAAUCAAAAGGUACCAGCUGCAUAGGAGUCGCAAACUGCCUUCUUUCAACGCAUCGUGGCGUGAAUGGGAAGAAUUAUUACCACUUGCCAUCCCCAAAUCCUCAUGAUGUACCUUUGACCACCAAUGCGCGUAAACACGAGUCACUGGAUUACCCCUGAACUCGUCCUUGGCUGGCAGGGUGAUAUAAGCAUUCGUAAAUGCACGGGUACAAGACUCCCAAUGCAUGCAUAUACACGGCUUGCAAGGAUUCUGAUUGGGCCUUUUCCUUCAGCCUGCCCGGCACAUUUUGGACAAAACCAAAUUGCCUGUAAAACGGCUAAGGAACGGUACGGCUGAACGACGCAUCGGUUUUCUUGCCGCAAAGAAACAUACGCUGAGCGAAGACUUAUGAGAUAAGACAAAUCUGAAGAGCGAAGAUGCGAAUCAUCCAUGAUGCCUCGCCGUACUGAGCCAACUCUCGCCAGGCGGUCCAUUUUUAAACCUUCACAACUUCUAAACAGUGUUUGAGCCUGCGAAUCAUCAAGACUCCUCGCAGAAAGCACACCAGAAUACUUCGUCAUUAAAGGCCCCAACUUGACUGAAGACGGAGAAGAAGGACCUGACUUGUCUAAAGUUGACGAAGAAAAAUGAGUGCCAAAAUACUCACCCAACCAACCAUACACAUAGUGGUAAGGGGAGCACCGCAGCACGAUCUUCAGUGCUUGCCAAGUUUCGAAAAUAACGUUCAAGCCGUCGUAAAUAUUGGCUAAAACUGGAAUAGCAAGACUAAAAGAUUCGCCUACAGCCAUCUUGCUAGCAACUUUGAAGACUCCGGGACGAAUGAAGUUGACAUCAUCCUUGGGGAAAACAAACUUACAGAGCCAACAAGCUAAGAGAGCGGCUAAGUAAGAUUCUUCUAAGUGCUCUGACGCCACGCCACAAUCCUCGAAUGCCUUCAACUCAGCAGAAAGUACGACGAACAGCUGGACCAAUGACACCAGACGGGUCCGAGUCCCCUUAGGCCUGGUUGUCUUGUUACGACCGCUUUUCUUCGAAGGCCUCUUGUACUUCAUGGCAUCCCAAUACCAAAAUUGGAUCCAUGAAGAGAUCUUCACGCCUGACUUACCUGGGGGCCUCUUGGAAAAGCUUAUGGUAUGCCCCAAACAAAUAACGGCAGCUUGCAGGUAAUCCUCGGCUGUUGCGAUAAGAGAAAACUCUUUCCACACUAGGAACAACCUCAUCGUAAAAUUGUCCCUGGAUUGGGCAAGCCCUCCUAUCUUAUGGAGAUCCCAAAGCGAGAUCGACAUCUCCCCUCGAGCCGUAUGAAGUGUGUGUUGGUCGCUGAACACCAAUGCUCGAAGAAUGCACGAAUGACGGAAGGAUGUCGGUCAUAACUGAACAGAGAUGCAUAUACAGCAUGAUAAAGUCCCGUGUUGGUAAGCAUAUCUUUAGAACGGCUCAAGACAUCUUCAAGCCAUUCCCAAUAAAACUCAACAAAGGCGGCUCCUCCAGUAGUCGACAAGGUGCUACUCCAAGCCAUAGCUCCGCUACGGAUACGAUCGCCAAGAAGCUCAAACGAAACCGAAUGAUUGUGUCACGAACAUGGUGCGAAUGGUUCAAGAUAAGACUCAUCGAUGUGCAUGCCUUUUUCUUUGCAUUUAGUCGAACAGAGUCUACCACAUCCCAAGGUACUUCAGAAGACCACGACUUAAUAUGCAUGGAAUUGUCUUUUGCGGGAAGGGCAAGCGCCUUGGGGCCAGGUAAGUGGCGCAUAAAGCUUUAACGUCGUUCCACUAUCCUGUGAAUCGCCUUCCUUUGCAAGAAUGGUGAUAGUGUUGUUUUUUAAAACACUUGAGAAACACCAUGACUGCAACAAAAAAGUCAGCCACAAAACUUGAGCAGGGCGGCAAAGAAGGCAGCUACAGGGCGGGUCCUUCAAAGCACGCUGCAGUGGCAGAGGAAACCAAAAUGCUACGCAAAACUCGCGGCGGAGCCCCGCUGCAGUCUCUUGCACAGCUCCACACGGCAGCGCACCACCGAGGGAAAACUGUGAUCAAAAGGCACUACACGGCAAAAACUUAGUUGCAGUCUCUUGUACAGCCCCACAACGGCAGCGCACCACCGAGGGAAAACUGUAAUCAAAAGACACUACACGGCAAAACUUCGUUGCAGUCUCUUGUACAAGAACACCCACGUCCUGCUCACCCCGCCACUAACUGCAACCACGGGCAAAAGAACCUUUGUCAAAACAACAGUACACCCAUAUUUAUAUUAUUAUAUGGACACAUUACAUAUAUAUACGUAUGUGUGUACGUGUGCACGGCUGGUGUGAUGAGACAAAUCAGCAAUCUUCAUAUAUGUGCGCGUGCGGUGAUGGAACAAAGCAAGGUCAGUGUGUGAACGUGUGUGUGUAUAUAUACACAUGACAAAGCCAUGCAAACAAAGUCUGUGUGUAUGUAUGUAUGUGAAAUGAAAGUCAAAGUUUCUGUGUGUGUGUAUAAGGCACAGCAACAAAUCCCAUAUAUAAAACAUAUAUGCGUACACAGUGAUAAUGACGGGACAAAUCAAUUUCCACAUACAUGUACAUGUGUGCACGGUAUCAAUCACAACCAACUUCCAUAUAUAUGUAUGCAUGCAGAAUGAUGGGACAGCCGCCAGCCAACUUAUAUAAUAUAUAUAUAUAUAUAUAUAUAUAUAUAUAUAUAUAUAUAUAUAUACAUGCAAAGCGACAGGACACUCAACAUAUAUAUAUAUAUAUAUAUAUAUAUAUAUAUAUAUAUAUAUAUAUAUAUAUAUAUAUAUAUAUAUAUAUAUAUAUGUACGUACAACAUGUCAAAAGCAUCUCAGGGUUAUAUAAAUAUAUAUAUAUAUAUAUAUAUAUAUAUAUAUAUAUAUAUAUAUAUAUAUAAGUGUAAGUAUGUGCGGCAUCCAAGAUGAGACAACUAAUCUCAAGGUUGUGUAUAUAUAUAUAAAUAAGUGUAAGUGUGUGCGGCUCCAGGCUAUAUAUAUAAAGGCUUGCUGUGUGCGGUUCCAGGACAUAUAUAUAUAUAAACGCCUGCUGCGUGCGGCUCUGGGACAUAUAUAUAUAUAUAUAUAUGCAUGGUGAUGGGUUAUACAUAUAAACGGACUCACGAAGUAAAAGCUGCAUCCUGCUAGCCGACUGCCUUCUUCUUCCCGUCUGCAGCACUGGUCAUCCCCUCCUCAACGCUUUGCACACCUUAAGCUCCAGCACCGAGACUCCCCUUGUCAAGCUCACUUCUGCAGCCUCAGACCACCGUCUCUGUCCAUCAAUGCGAAGCCAACCCGAACCCGUCGUUCGCCGUCAGGAUCCUCUCUGCUGCAUUUCCUUCCAGCACCGAGCUCAGUAGCAGCAAACGAGGAUCCUCCAGGAACAAUAGGCGCACUGUUAGUAGCAUGAGCAACAGAGGAUGCUACAUAAGAAAGCCCAGUCGACGAAGAUGUAGAGCUGAAAGAGGUAGCAAAAUACAGAGACUUACCAGCUAGCAGACGCGGGGAACGCAGGAAGCAGUGCACGCAGUCGUGAUCGCAGCCAGGUAGUAGCUGUGUGGUGAAUGUGCAGUGCCCUAUGUGUGUAUGUGUGUGCGUAUGCCUAUGUAUAUAUAUACAACGAUCUCAACGGUUGCAAAAGAAACGGAUCCGCAUACGAUGCAGUGACUGUGUAAACAGCAAUCCGCAUGCAGUGAAGAAUGCAGUACAAUAGCUGUUCGCAAACAAUGACCCGCGUGAAGAGAGGAGUGCAGAGAAUAAUGCAGUACAGUAGCUGUGCAAACAGUGAUCUGCGUGAAGAGAGGAGUGCAGAGAAUAAUGCAGUACGGUGACUGUCGCAAACAGUGAUCCGCGUGAAGAGAUGAACGCAGAGAAGAAUGUAGUAUAGUAGCUGUUCAAACAGUGAUCCGUGUGCAGAGAAGAACACAUGAAAAAAAAAAAAAAAAAAAAAAAAAAAAAAAAAAAAAAAAAAUGGUUGCAGUGACUGUGCAAAUAAAAAUGGUACAGAGAAGAAUACGAUGCAGCAAGGAAGACCCGUGCUCUCCACUUCGCUUCCCCUUUGAAGAAUCAUGUUCCUAGUUUCUUAAAUAUACAUAAUAAUAAAAAAAAAAAUGAUGAAAGGUGUUUGGUGCGCAACAUCCAUCAAAACAUAUGUAUACAAAUAGUGAAAUCUUGGUGUAUGGCACUACUCAAAAAAAAAAAAAAAAAAAAAAAAAAAAAAAAAAAAAAAAAAAAAAAAAAAAAAAAAAAAAAAAAAAAAAAAAAAAAAAAAAAAAUUGAAGGAAAGGUGGUGGCGACAAAAUCAUUGAAAGAUGGAAAAAUGGGAAGAAUGGUGCAUCAGGCACCAUCUAAAAGAAAGGUUAUGGGAUGACGCACAACAUCAUUUAAAAAAAA